RNAcentral lists this ribosomal RNA (689 nucleotides) under Mucor grylli. RNAcentral's name for it is "partial large subunit ribosomal RNA". It matches the Rfam family "Eukaryotic large subunit ribosomal RNA", at positions 53 to 648 of the family's 3401-position model. Lineage: Eukaryota; Fungi; Mucoromycota; Mucoromycetes; Mucorales; Mucoraceae. The record is from RNAcentral.
GAGGAAAAGAAAAUAACAAUGAUUUCCCUAGUAACGGCGAGUGAAGAGGAAAGAGCUCAAAGUUGGAACCUGUUUGGCUUAGCUAAACCGGAUUGUAAACUGUAGAAACGUUUUCCUGAUACGCCAGAUAAAUAAGUCCUUUGGAACAGGGCAUCAUAGAGGGUGAGAAUCCCGUCUUUGGUCUGAGCUGUUAUCUUUUGUGAUACGUUUUCAAAGAGUCAGGUUGUUUGGGAAUGCAGCCUAAAUUGGGUGGUAAAUCUCACCUAAAGCUAAAUAUUUGCGAGAGACCGAUAGCGAACAAGUACCGUGAGGGAAAGAUGAAAAGAACUUUGAAAAGAGAGUUAAACAGUAUGUGAAAUUGUUAAAAGGGAACCGUUUGGAGCCAGACUGGCUUGAUUGUAAUCAAUCUAGGUUUCGACCUGGAUGCACUUGCGGUCUAUGCCUGCCAACGACAAUUCUUUCUGGAGGAAAAAACUAAAUGGAAUGUGGCCCCUCGGGGUGUUAUAGACUUUUAGAAAAUACUCUGGAUGGGAUUGAGGAACGCAGUGAAUGCUUAUGGCGAGAUUGCUGAGCGCUUUUGUUGAUAGAUGUUAGAAUUUCUGCUUCGGGUGGUGCUAAUGUUUAAAGAUAAAACUCGUUUGGUUAAUUUUCUAUUCACUUAGGUUGUUGGCUUAAUGACUCUAAAUGAC